AGCAACAUGGCGCAGGGGUAGCGCGCGGGGCUCAUAUAACCGGUCACGUGACUGGUCAAUCGACACCCCGAGGUCACUGGAUCGAAACCAGUUGUUGCUA
Molecule: non-coding RNA, 100 nt
Organism: Gelatoporia subvermispora B
Lineage: Eukaryota; Fungi; Basidiomycota; Agaricomycetes; Polyporales; Gelatoporiaceae
Source: the annotation of a GenBank genome assembly